RNAcentral lists this ribosomal RNA (1508 nucleotides) under uncultured prokaryote. Its description in RNAcentral is "partial 16S ribosomal RNA". It matches the Rfam family "Bacterial small subunit ribosomal RNA". The record is from RNAcentral.
CCCUUAGAGUUUGAUCCUGGCUCAGAACGAACGCUGGCGGCAGGCCUAACACAUGCAAGUCGAACGAUAAACCACCUUCGGGUGGUGGACAGUGGCGCACGGGUGAGUAACGCGUGGGAACGUACCUUUUAGUACGGAACAACCAUUAGAAACUGUAGCUAAUACGGUAUGCCUUCGUAAGAAGAAAGAUGGCCUAUGCUUGCAUGCUAUCGCGGGCAGAGCGGCCUAUGUCCCAUUAGCUUGUUGGUAGGGUAAUGGCCUACCAAGGCUACGAUGGGUAGCUGGUCUGAGAGGAUGAUCAGCCACACUGGAACUGAGACACGGUCCAGACUCCUACGGGAGGCAGCAGUGAGGAAUUUUGCACAAUGGGCGCAAGCCUGAUGCAGUAACGCCGUGUGAGUGAAGAAUGUCUUUGGAUUGUAAAGCUCUUUCAUCUGGGACGAAAUACUAACAUGAAAAUAUUUUGUUAGUCUGACGGUACUAGAAUAAGAAGCACCGGCUAACUCCGUGCCAGCAGCCGCGGUAAUACGGAGGGUGCAAGUGUUGUUCGGAAUGACUGGGCGUAAAGGGCGCGUAGGCGGGCUUAUGUGUCCACUGUGAAAUCCCCAGGCUUAACCUGGGAAUUGCAGCGGAAACUGUAAGUCUUGAAUGUUCGAGAGGGUGGUAGAAUUCCAGGUGUAGGAGUGAAAUCCGUAGAUAUCUGGAGGAACACCGGAGGCGAAGGCGGCCAACUGGCAGUGUAUUGACGCUGAGGUGCGAAAGCGUGGGGAGCAAACAGGAUUAGAUACCCUGGUAGUCCACGCCGUAAACUAUGGAUACUAGGUGUUUGGGGAGUUAACCCCCUGAGUACUACAGCUAACGCAUUAAGUAUCCCGCCUGGGGAGUACGGUCGCAAGGCUAAAACUCAAAGGAAUUGACAGGGGCCCGCACAAGCGGUGGAGUAUGUGGUUUAAUUCGAAGCAACGCGCAGAACCUUACCUACCCUUAACAUCCCGGGACGAUUGCAGAGAUGUAAUUUCCUCUUCGGAGGCUCGGUGAUAGGUGCUGCAUGGCUGUCGUCAGCUCGUGUCGUAAGAUGUCUGGUUAAGUCCAAAAACGAGCGCAACCCCUAUCCUUAGUUGCCAUCAUUAAGUUGGGGACUCUAGGGAGACUGCCGGUGUUAAACCGGAGGAAGGCGGGGAUGACGUCAAGUCCUCAUGGCCCUUACGGGUAGGGCUACACACGUACUACAAUGGCAGAAACAAACCGUUGCGAUACCGCGAGGUGGAGCUAAUCGGUAAAACACUGUCUCAGUCCGGAUUGGAGUCUGCAACUCGACUCCAUGAAGUUGGAAUCGCUAGUAAUCGCUGAUCAGCAAGCAGCGGUGAAUACGUUCCCGGGCCUUGUACACACCGCCCGUCACACCACGAGAGUAGUCCUGACCAGAAGUAUGUGAGCUAACCGCAAGGAGGCAGCAUACCAAGGUUAUGGCCGCAAUUGGGGUGAAGUCGUAACAAGGUAACCAAGGG